CACUCAAUGGAUACAAUACCCUCAGAUGGAUCCACUAAGGUCCAGACUUGGUUCGAGUACAUUAAGUCAAUUUCUGACUUCAUAGUAUUUAAUCAUUUUUCGAAAUCGAUAUCAGACAUUGUCUCAUCAAAGAUGGUAGGAUCAUCACUAUGACCCCUAUCUCCCAUAAGGAACAUUUCCUUUACUUCUUUUGUAAGCAAACUCAUGUACCUUUCA
This 216-nucleotide long non-coding RNA is filed under the name Elaeis guineensis (African oil palm). RNAcentral describes it as "long non-coding RNA (EGUI_LNC043127)". Lineage: Eukaryota; Viridiplantae; Streptophyta; Magnoliopsida; Arecales; Arecaceae. The record is from RNAcentral.